Molecule: ribosomal RNA, 252 nt
Filed under: uncultured bacterium
Lineage: Bacteria
Description: partial 16S ribosomal RNA
Rfam family: Bacterial small subunit ribosomal RNA
Source: RNAcentral
CGGGGUGAGUAACGCGUGGGUAACCUGCCUUACACAGGGGGAUAACACCUGGAAAUAGGUGCUAAUACCGCAUAAGCGCACAGAGCCGCAUGGCUCAGUGUGAAAAACUCCGGUGGUGUAAGAUGGAUCCGCGUCUGAUUAGCUGGUUGGCGGGGUAGAAGCCCACCAAGGCGACGAUCAGUAGCCGGCCUGAGAGGGUGAACGGCCACAUUGGGACUGAGACACGGCCCAGACUCCUACGGAAGGCAGCAG